RNAcentral lists this ribosomal RNA (422 nucleotides) under uncultured bacterium. RNAcentral's name for it is "bacterial SSU rRNA". It matches the Rfam family "Bacterial small subunit ribosomal RNA", at positions 355 to 774 of the family's 1533-position model. The record is from RNAcentral.
UAAGGAAUAUUGGACAAUGGAGGCAACUCUGAUCCAGCCAUGCCGCGUGAAGGAAUAAGGCCCUAUGGGUUGUAAACUUCUUUUAGACGGGACAAAACCCCUUUACGUGUAAAGGGUUGAUGGUACUGUCAGAAUGAGCAUCGGCUAACUUCGUGCCAGCAGCCGCGGUAAUACGAAGGAUGCAAGCGUUAUCCGGAAUUAUUGGGUUUAAAGGGUGCGUAGGCGGACUAAUAAGUCAGUGGUGAAAGCCUGCAGCUUAGCUGCAGAAUUGCCAUUGAUACUGUUAGUCUUGAGUACAGUUGAGGGAGGCGCAAUGUGUCAUGUAGCGGUGAAAGGCUUAGAGAUGACACAGAACACCGAUUGCGAAGGCAGCUUGCUAAGCUGUAACUGACGCUGAGGCACGAAAGCGUGGGGAGCAAACA